This 492-nucleotide ribosomal RNA is filed under the name uncultured bacterium. RNAcentral's name for it is "partial 16S ribosomal RNA". It matches the Rfam family "Bacterial small subunit ribosomal RNA", at positions 30 to 507 of the family's 1533-position model. The record is from RNAcentral.
AGUGAACGCUGGCGGUAGGCUUAACACAUGCAAGUCGAACGGCAGCACAGUAAGAGCUUGCUCUUACGGGUGGCGAGUGGCGGGCGGGAGAGGAAUGUAUCGGAAUCUACUUUUUCGUGGGGGUUCACGUAGGGAAACUUACGCUAAUACCGCAUACGACCUACGGGUGAAAGCAGGGGAUCUUCGGACCUUGCGCGAUUGAAUGAGCCGAUGCGGGAUUAGAUAGUUGGCGGGGUAAAGGCCCACCAAGGCGACGAUCCGUAGCUGGACUGAGUGAAUGAUCGCCGACACUAGAGGUUGGCCGGGGUCCAUGGGCCUGCGGGAGGCAGCAGUGUGGAAUAUGGGACAGUGGGGGCAAGCCUGGUCCAGCCAGACCGCGUGGGUGGAGAAGGCCUUCGGGUUGUAAAGCCCGUUUGUUGGGAGAGAAAAGCAGCAGGUUAAGACCCCGCUGUACUGACGGUACCCAAUGAAUAAGCACCGGCUAACUUCGUG